Molecule: long non-coding RNA, 2588 nt
Organism: Oncorhynchus tshawytscha (Chinook salmon)
Lineage: Eukaryota; Metazoa; Chordata; Actinopteri; Salmoniformes; Salmonidae
Source: Ensembl
CAAAAACACUCUUUUUUUUAAAUUUAAAUGAUUUGUAUUGUAGUCUGAAGCCCUUGACGUAUAUACUAAAUGAUGUCUUGAUUGAUUUAUUUAAAAAGCAACACAACUUAUUCUUUCUCUCUCUUUCUAUACUUUUUAAAAAGGAGCCAGAGGUAAGAGCUCUAAAAUAACCUGGAUAGCUUCCUAAUGUGUUUUAAAGCUCUAAAGCAUUGAGUGCCUUGGGUAUGUAUAAAGACUUUUUCAAUCCAUCUUACCUGUGGUCGUAGACGGUAAUGAGAAAUGCAUUGCUAAGACUCUUGUUAAUAAAUGAACUGGACUCCAACCAUUUGAAGUCUUAGGUUUCAGGCUUUGACCUCGAUGUUCAUGUCAUGUGUAGAGGCCGACGCGGUGGCUUCUUUAGGAAAGAGAGUAAUGGCGGUGCAAUGGAGAGGUUGGUUUAAACCGUAAUCGUUCCACUAUAAAGGUAACCUUAACCCUAAAUGUGUCAUUUUUGAUAGUGUGUUUAUAUAUUGAAUUAAGCUGCUGGUAAAUGCGUGCAAUUUAGUAAAAGAAGAAUUCUAGUCAUGUCAACAACAACAACAAAAAAUCUAAAGUAAAGUAACUUCCAAUAUUAUUGUAGUUGUAGAUUUACUAAAAUAAAUGUUCUGUGUACUAACAAAAUAUCCUACAAUAGUGUUAAUAAUGCAACUCUUGCUAAAAUGAAAAUCUGCAAAGCCGAAUCUUUAUCAAUAUCUUCUGAACCAGUUGAGCUGCUACUUUUUCUUUGCGUUAUUUGUGUAAACAUUGCAUAUACUGUAACAUGUUUGACAUAUUUUGUAGAACGUAAUGGACUAAAGCUUGAGUUGCAUGACUACAACUACUCUGUCCAUUUUGCAUGAUUUUAACUGAACUGUCCACUAGUGUUUUCCCAUUGGUUAUGGAUUUAGUGUGUCUCUUCCCUCAGGUCCAACUAUUAGUCAGUCAUGGACCAAUCAGAGGGUGGCUUACUGGAGAGAGAGAACCAAUCAGAGGUCGGCUUACUGGAGAGAUGAUACCAUACAUACCUCAGGUCCUCUCAAGCUCUGUGAAGUUGGAUGGGGAGCGUCGCUGUACAGCUAUCUCCAGGUCUCUCCAGAGAUGUUUGGACAGGUUCAAGUCCGGGCUCUGGCGGGGUCACACAAGAACAUUCAGACUUGUCCCGAAGCCACUCCUGUGUUGUUUUGGCUGUAUGCUUGAGGUCGUUGUCCUGUUGGAAGGUGAACCUUCGCCCCAGUCUGAGGUUUUGAGUGCUCUGGAGCAGGUUUUCAUCAAGGAUCUCUCUGUACCUUGCUCAAAGUGACCAUCGGGUUCUUGGUCACCUCCCUGACCAAGGCCCUUCUCCCCUGAUUGGUCAGUUUGGCCGGGCGGCCAGAUCUAGGACGAGUCUUGGUGGUUCCAAACUUCUUCCAUUUUAAGAAUGAUGGAGGACAUUGUGUUCUUGGGGACCUUCGAUGCUGCAGAAAGGUUUUGUUUUCCCCAGACCUGUGCCUCGACACAAUCCUGUCUCGGAGCUCUACGGACAAUUCCUUCGACCUCAUGGCUUGGUUUUUGCGUUGACGUGCACUGUCAACUGUGGGACCUUUUAUAUUGACAGUUGUGUGCCUUUCCAAUUCAUGUCCAAUCAAUUGAUUUUACCACAGGUGGACUCCAAGUUGUAGAAACAUCUCAAGGAUGAUCAAUGGAAACAGGAUGCACCUGAGCUCCAUUUUGAGUCUCAUAGCAAAGGGUCUGAAUACUUAAGUAAUAUGGACAGGAAGGACCUGAUCCUAGAUCAGCACUCCUGCUCUGAGACCAUAUGAAUACAGGUCCAGAUUUAUAGCCAUAAUGUCAGCUAUACUGAUACUGAAACUCCACAUUCCAGGAGUGUGUGUGGCUGAUAAACCAAUACACAUGUUACUUCUAGAACCCUACACGCUGUCCGGAACCCUACGCGCUGUCCAUAACCCUACGCGCUGUCCAUAACCCUACACGCUGUCCGGAACCCUACGCGCUGUCCGGAACCCUACGUGCUGUCCGGAACCCUGGGCGCUGUCCGGGAACCCUGGGCGCUGUCCGGAACCCUGGGCGCUGUCCGGAACCCUGGGCGCUGUCCGCAACACUGGGCGCUGUCAGAACCUUGAGGUGGUGCAGGAGCCGCAGGGCUCUACAUGACAGAGCACUGGAUCGCCGUCAGGCUCCACAGUGAAGAACUGACCCAGUAGAGGGCACCAAUACUGGGGUAGAGCAGUCUGGAAGGAGGGCAGGCUGCCCAGAGGACCAGAGAGCAGAUGUAGCCUACAGAGGAGAGAGAAGGGAGCCUUGGCCCCGCUAGAAAAAGAAGAGGGGUGGUUCUAUGAGGCUCUGUAUUAGAAUCUGGAUGAGGGGAGAAGAUUCUGGAAUGUGAAGCUAUGACACAUUACUGUGAAGCUAUGACACAUUACUGUGAAGCUAUGACACUUUAUUGUGAAGCUAUGACACUUUAUUGUGAAGCUAUGACACUACUGUGAAGCUAUGACACUACUGUGAAGCUAUGACACUACUGUGAAGCUAUGACACUACUGUGAAGCUAUGACACUACUGUGAAGCUAUGA